Molecule: ribosomal RNA, 551 nt
Filed under: uncultured archaeon
Lineage: Archaea
Description: bacterial SSU rRNA
Rfam family: Archaeal small subunit ribosomal RNA
Source: RNAcentral
CGGGGUGCAGCAGGCGCGAAAACUUUACAAUGCGGGAAACCGUGAUAAGGGGACACCGAGUGCCAGCAUCAUAUGCUGGCUGUCCAGGUGUGUAAAAUACACCUGUUAGCAAGGGCCGGGCAAGACCGGUGCCAGCCGCCGCGGUAACACCGGCGGCCCGAGUGGUGAUCGUGAUUAUUGGGUCUAAAGGGUCCGUAGCCGGUUUGGUCAGUCCUCCGGGAAAUCUGAUAGCUCAACUAUUAGGCUUUCGGGGGAUACUGCCAGACUUGGAACCGGGAGAGGUAAGAGGUACUACAGGGGUAGGAGUGAAAUCUUGUAAUCCCUGUGGGACCACCUGUGGCGAAGGCGUCUUACCAGAACGGGUUCGACGGUGAGGGACGAAAGCUGGGGGCACGAACCGGAUUAGAUACCCGGGUAGUCCCAGCCGUAAACGAUGCUCGCUAGGUGUCAGGCAUGGCGCGACCGUGUCUGGUGCCGCAGGGAAGCCGUGAAGCGAGCCACCUGGGAAGUACGGCCGCAAGGCUGAAACUUAAAGGAAUUGGCGGGGGAGC